UACGUAGGGUGCAAGCGUUAAUCGGAAUUACUGGGCGUAAAGCGUGCGCAGGCGGUUUUGUAAGUCUGUCGUGAAAUCCCCGGGCUUAACCUGGGAAUUGCGAUGGAGACUGCAAGGCUAGAAUCUGGCAGAGGGGGGUAGAAUUCCACGUGCAGCAGUGAAAUGCGUAGAGAUGUGGAGGAACACCGAUGGCGAAGGCAGCCCCCUGGGUCAAGAUUGACGCUCAUGCACGAAAGCGUGGGGAGCAAACAGG
RNAcentral lists this ribosomal RNA (253 nucleotides) under uncultured bacterium. RNAcentral's name for it is "partial 16S ribosomal RNA". It matches the Rfam family "Bacterial small subunit ribosomal RNA", at positions 524 to 776 of the family's 1533-position model. The record is from RNAcentral.